This 5167-nucleotide long non-coding RNA is filed under the name Drosophila guanche. Lineage: Eukaryota; Metazoa; Arthropoda; Insecta; Diptera; Drosophilidae. The record is from RNAcentral.
UCAAUAUUUUUUUAAAUGUUUAUUUUUUUAGAACACAGGCUACUAUUAUGUAGCAAACUAUUAAAAAUUAAACUAUGAAACAAUUAUAAUGUUUUUUCACAUUUCCUUCAAAUGAUUAAUCAGCACACUCCAUUGUCGUUGCCCUCACACUUACAGCGAGAGCCCUACCACUCGCACUUUCACUCGCACCAGCCCAUAAUUUUUUCCGACGAGACCUCCUUAUAUAGUUGCUUUAUGCUUACGGCUAGCCCUUCGAGAACCUUCUUCGCUCUCAUCUGGCGACACAGCUUUUGGACGGGGUAAAUAAGUUAGACUAAGUGCAUGCUGCACAGAGCAAAAAUUUGAUUUAAAGUUAAAAGACAUAAUUAAUGUGCGCAUAGAGAAUAUAUAAAAAACGUUGUGAAAAUUCUGCAAAUAUAAAAGGGAACAUAAAUCCCAGAAAAACAAUCUAAAAAGUUUGGUGGCUGCAGCGAUACAAAAAAAAAAAAAACCCUGGAUAAGGUACGCAAAGAAAUAAUGGAAAAAGUAACCUUAUUACAUAAUCUCAUGUAUAUACAUAUAAAUAGGUUAUGAACCACGUGGGGCAGUAUAACUGCGUAUUCCUGCGUCCGCGUCCGCCUUCAUUAAACGUCGCACGCACCUGAGCUUAAACGCAUCCGUCCCCUUGCAGUUCAGCUCAAACUCUUCCAUCCAUGCGGUUCCAUAAUCUGCAUAACCUCCUUGAAGUUGGCUAAUUCGUCCACGCUCGCCUUACGCAGUUCUUCCAUGGCUGGCUUCCUCUGGAGCAAACUUAUCUCUGCUUCUGUCAUAAGGCGGUCGGCUUCCAGCCUCCUAGUUUGUGCGUCUGGCGAAUUUUUACUUUUAAUCUGUCUGUUCAUGUUCUGCAGAAACUGCGACGACACGCCAGAAACAGAAAAACGUUCUGUAUGUAUUUUCUUAUACUGCGACGAACAGACGCCAAAACGUACAUAUAGUAACAUAUCCAUAAUGCCCUACACCCACAUAAGCAUAAAGUAUACGUUAAGCACUUGACAUAUUCAUAACCACACCCACACCUAUACACGUUAUGCAUAUGCCCAGCACUCACCCUUACACCUAUGUACUCGCAUCUAUAUGAAAUAAGAUAAACAUAUAAGAAUAUAGCCCAACACCUGAAUAAACAACGCAUGAUUCGUCCAUACCGAAAUGGGAACAGGAGCAGGAAGUCCCAUGCAACCCAAAACUCCGUAAUGCAAUAGAACGUCGCUGAACAAUACGCUAUCAGCUCGUUCCCACACUCCACACUAUGACUAAUUCAGAAUCAGUCACACACUCCAACAGAAGGGAGAACUCUUGUAAACAAGUGAGUACUCAAGAUGAAAGCUGGCACCAAUCACCAGCUUCGGCUGCCUGUUUCAUCCAAGCCGACGCAUUUCCCAAGCCUCCCACACAUAGUCCAACGCAUCGCCUUUCACCAAAGCAACGCCUCUCGCAACUGAAGCUUCGUCGCUUGCUACAGCUCAUCACUCAAUUCCGAAGACGAAAUAUCAGCGGAAGCCGAAAGCUUAAGAAGAUAAGCUUUAAGCUUUCCCAAAAGAGGUCUCGAGAUCAAUAACUUUAGAAAAAGAACACAGUUCCGUUUCGGACUUUUUACAUUGAGUUGGGGAAUUCAUAAUCAUAUCCUAUGUUCUAUUAUAUAGGUUCGGUUAAAUAAAAUAAAUAAAUUAAAACCCUACUUUUGAACUCGGGAAUUCUUAUUGGCGCAGCCGGUAGGAUUCACAAACACUAACGUUAUUGUUCCGGUACUAAUCUAUUAGAAGCAAUCUAAACGACUAGAUUGCUGGAGAUUAGCGAAGCUAGUUAGACCAAGUGAAUCCGCCAAAGAACCUAGGUGCAAGGUAGCACUAGGCACAAACACAAACACUAGGCCAAACAAAAUAAUAAUUGUGUAACUAAAAUCGCAACGGUAAUAUAAAUCACCAACAGCAACGAAUUAAAUAAACCAACAACUAAAUAAUCCAUUGAGUGAAACACACGUGAAGUGAACUAAAAUGAAUUAAAAAUCAAAAUGGCAAUAUCACCUGUAACCCGUAGUGAAAUUCACCAAAACCAAGCACUACUGUCAAUUCGACAAGUGCCAAACUAUGGACGGAUCAGCUGGAAAGCCGAGCUCCUUCACAAAAACGCGUUGAGUACAUACAAGAACUGUACCCGACGCAAUAAACCAGACAGUCACGAAUACUGUUUGGAGCCAUUGAGGUGCAGCUGACCGAAGAAGCACAACGACUCUCACAAAUGGUGCAACCCAACACCUGGCUGGAGCUGAAAAAUGCUCUAAUAGACGAAUUCAAGAACCACACACCAUACGAAGAACUUCUGCGACAAAUCUACUUCACAAAAUUCAAUGGGACUCUUCGUAAGUUUAUCGAAGAUCUAGAAACUAAAGCCCUUGUAGUUACUAAAAAGCUAGCAUUAGUAAACAAAGUAGCCAGCACCCUGAUCUAUCAAAACGCAUUAAAUAAUAAAAUUUGUGAAGGUUGCAGACCAAAAAUAAAAUUUAGAAUGCAUGUACUAAAAUUGUAUUAAGACAAUUUUUUUUUGGGAACAGUCUUUCUUAUUUUAUCGCAACAAUAUUGACCCUUCCCCACUGUACGUACGUUUCAGAGAACUGCAUGCAAGAUCAGAAGCUUUUAUCUCGAAAAGCUCUAUAUCUCUUUCUCUUGCACGUGCACGCGCUUUUCUCUCUGCAAGCAUAGCUUACGGCACUAACCAAAUAGUAUACUAUUUGGUUAGUGCUUACGGCCAUAAAGCAACUAUAUAAGGAGGCCUUGUCGGUGGCAGAGUUACUCGCUGCGUUACCCAAUUCUCAGUGCACGUUUGCUCGUCGACGCGGAAGGUUGGUUGCGGACAACAUUUUUUUUUUUCAAUAUUUUUUUAAAUGUUUAUUUUUUCAGAACACAGGCUACUAUUAUGUAGCAAACUAUUAAAAAUUAAACUAUGAAACAAUUAUAAUGUUUUUUCACAUUGCCUUCAAAUGAUUAAUCAGCACACUCCAUUGUCGUUGCCCUCACACUUACAGCGAGAGCCCUUCCACUCGCACUUUCACUCGCACCAACCCAUAAUUUUUUCCGACGAGACCUCCUUAUAUAGUUGCUUUAUGCUUACGGCUACAGCUUUUGGAGGGGGUAAAUUAGUUAGACUAAGUGCAUGCUGCACAGAGCAAAAAUUUGAUUUAAAGUUGAAAGACAUAAUUAAUGUGCGCAUAGAGAAUAUAUAAAAAACGUUGUGAAAAUUCUGCAAAUAUAAAAGGGAACAUAGAUCCCAGAAAAACAAUCUGAAAAGUUUGGUGGCUGCAGCGAAACAAAAAAAUAACAAACCCUGGAUAAGGUACGCAAAGAAUUAAUGGAAAAAGUAACCUUAUUACAUAAUCUCAUGUAUAUACAUAUAAAUAGGUUAUGAACCACGUGGGGCAGUAUAACUGCUGACCUGGCCGAUCUGGGCCUGACCAUCGCUCUCGGACGUGGUCCACUCCAACAUCACGAUCAUCAGUCCCAUCAUUUUUUUGCUACAGCGAUCUCCUCAGUCUCUCCUAUCGAAAUCAUUAUAUAUAUAUAUUUUUCAAAGACAAAACUGUAAAUAACUAUACAAAAAAAAAAUUUUUUUAAUUCAAAGCGUUAAANCUAAGUGCAUGCUGCACAGAGCAAAAAUUUGAUUUAAAGUUGAAAGACAUAAUUAAUGUGCGCAUAGAGAAUAUAUAAAAAACGUUGUGAAAAUUCUGCAAAUAUAAAAGGGAACAUAGAUCCCAGAAAAACAAUCUGAAAAGUUUGGUGGCUGCAGCGAAACAAAAAAAUAACAAACCCUGGAUAAGGUACGCAAAGAAUUAAUGGAAAAAGUAACCUUAUUACAUAAUCUCAUGUAUAUACAUAUAAAUAGGUUAUGAACCACGUGGGGCAGUAUAACUGCUGACCUGGCCGAUCUGGGCCUGACCAUCGCUCUCGGACGUGGUCCACUCCAACACCACGAUCAUCAGUCCCUCUUUUUUGUGCCAGCGGACCUUGCCUGCCGGCAGAUACACAGAUGGACUUGGUUAGCGGGACCUAGGCAUACAUAUAUACAUCGACAUACCUACGCGCAGUUCAACAACAACAAUAUAAAACAAGAUAAAACAAGCCUUGCUUCUAGGGAAAAUGUUGGUGCUUGCAUAAUUUGUUGAAAAAAAAUUCGUUCAGCGAUCAGUGCCCAUGCGGUUGACCAUACACCUAAGCGCACCUAAAUAGACCCACUUGGCCGUAUGUCACCCAUUCGUACCUACUCUCAGUUUUAUUAACAUAGUUGAUACCCGAUAUAAUAUGUAAAUUCUAAGGCAACUUAAGGAGAGGGAAAAAUCACAAAAAGUUAGAAAAAGAAAAUUUAAUUAAAAAUCAUGAAUAGGAAAAAAAAAAUUUUUAAUUUGUAUCAUUUUAAAUAUACUUAGACAUGAACCUUAGAAAAUAAGAAGAAGAAAAAAAGUGUAAUAUAUGCAUAGUUAAUAAUAGAUUCUAAGAGGUAUCAUCGGUCUCAUUGUGUCCAUGGAAGGGUAUUAGUAAAAUACCGCUCCAUAACGCUUCUUGUUUUCUCUGGCAACAUUCUACAUCUCUUUAACAGUUUCAUGCCAAUUUCAUGCGUGAAAUUGGGCCCAACGACACCUGCAGCUAAUUAAACGUCUGUAAGUAGACACACAUAUAUACAAAUACAUUCCGGUUCAGGAGAAUAGCAUCUAACGCAGUGAGACGAGCAUGUUUAACCAUAUUUAAAAUAAUAAACUACAAUCACUACAAUUAUGCCAUUUAAUUCAUUUAGAUAAUUCAUUACUACAUUUUAUUUUGAUUAUAUUAUUUUUAUUUAUACUUUGAUCAUUAUCUUGAAUUCAUAUGUCUUAAAUUAGUCCACCUAUAUAUACAUGCAGUAAGAAUAAGUUGAAGGGUUAGGGUUGAAAUAAUGGGGGUUAUAAAUAAAAAAUGAUGUCAUACAAGUUAAAGUAAAAACUAUAACGCUACGAGAAGGGACGUGUGAGACGCUUUUUACGCGUCACAACUUUUAUAACCGGCACUCAGGACUACAUCUAGAUGUAGAAGACAUCGCCAACCACUAGAUAUCGUUCACAUUACAGAACACGUAGUAAAAGCCUACUAAAUAAAAUGCAUCAAAC